RNAcentral lists this ribosomal RNA (490 nucleotides) under uncultured bacterium. RNAcentral describes it as "partial 16S ribosomal RNA". It matches the Rfam family "Bacterial small subunit ribosomal RNA", at positions 29 to 507 of the family's 1533-position model. The record is from RNAcentral.
AAUGAACGCUGGCGGCAUGCCUUACACAUGCAAGUCGAACGGCAGCAUGACCUAGCUUGCUAUGUUGAUGGCGAGUGGCGAACGGGUGAGUAAUGCAUCGGAACUUGCCUUUUAGUGGGGGAUAACGUAGCGAAAGUUACGCUAAUACCGCAUAUUCUCUGAGGAGGAAAGCAGGGGACCUUCGGGCCUUGCGCUAGAAGAGCGGCCGAUGUCGGAUUAGCUAGUUGGUGAGGUAAAGGCUCACCAAGGCAACGAUCCGUAGCGGGUCUGAGAGGAUGAUCCGCCACACUGGGACUGAGACACGGCCCAGACUCCUACGGGAGGCAGCAGUGGGGAAUUUUGGACAAUGGGCGCAAGCCUGAUCCAGCCAUGCCGCGUGAGUGAAGAAGGCCUUCGGGUUGUAAAGCCCUUUCGGCUGGGAAGAAAUCGCACCCUCUAAUACAGGGUGUGGAUGACGGUACCAGCAUAAGAAGCACCGGCUAACUACGUG